CACGGCCCAGACUCCUACGGGAGGCAGCAGUGGGGGAAUUUUGGACAAUGGGGGGCAACCCUGAUCCAGCCAUGCCGCGUGCAGGAUGAAGGCCUUCGGGUUGUAAACUGCUUUUGUACGGAACGAAAAGACUCUGGUUAAUACCUGGGGUCCAUGACGGUACCGUAAGAAUAAGCACCGGCUAACUACGUGCCAGCAGCCGCGGUAAUACGUAGGGUGCAAGCGUUAAUCGGAAUUACUGGGCGUAAAGCGUGCGCAGGCGGUGAUGUAAGACAGAGGUGAAAUCCCCGGGCUCAACCUGGGAACUGCCUUUGUGACUGCAUCGCUGGAGUGCGGCAGAGGGGGAUGGAAUUCCGCGUGUAGCAGUGAAAUGCGUAGAUAUGCGGAGGAACACCGAUGGCGAAGGCAAUCCCCUGGGCCUGCACUGACGCUCAUGCACGAAAGCGUGGGGAGCAAACAGGAUUAGAUACCCUGGUAGUCCACGCUCUAAACGAUGUCAACUGGUUGU
Molecule: ribosomal RNA, 508 nt
Filed under: uncultured bacterium
Lineage: Bacteria
Description: bacterial SSU rRNA
Rfam family: Bacterial small subunit ribosomal RNA
Source: RNAcentral